This 307-nucleotide long non-coding RNA is filed under the name Panax ginseng (ginseng). RNAcentral's name for it is "long non-coding RNA (PGIN_LNC018020)". Lineage: Eukaryota; Viridiplantae; Streptophyta; Magnoliopsida; Apiales; Araliaceae. The record is from RNAcentral.
ACCAAACAAGGGCAAAAGAAAUUCCAUUAAAAUUAAACUUGGGCAAACAUCAAAGGUUUUCAUUACACGUAACAACUUUCAUUACUCUAAGCAAUUUAUCAAAAAUCAUCCACUUCCAAUUUAAAAAUACAUAUUAAUAAGACAUCAGGGAACACAUCUCCCCCGUCCUUGCAACAGUUUAAAUGCAUUCUUGGAUUACAUAGGAUCUGCUUUCCACAAAUACAGAAGGAAUUGAGGUGAAUAAAAACUGAAGUUUAGCAAGGUUCUUUCCACAACAGAAGGAUCUGCUUUCCAAGGUUCUUUCAUC